AGAGUUUGAUCAUGGCUCAGAAUGAACGUUGGCGGCGUGGAUUAGGCAUGCAAGUCGAGCGCGAUACCUCCUUCGGGAGGUGGAAAGCGGCGAAAGGGAGAGGAACACGUGGAUUAUCUACCCCUGGAACCAGGAUAGCUGCGGGAAACUGCAGGUAAUACUGGAUAACGUCUCCGGACCAAAGGUGUGAUUCCGUCCAGGGAUGAGUCUGCGUCCUAUUAGCUAGUUGGCAGGGUAACGGCCUACCAAGGCGAUGAUGGGUACCGGGUGUGAGAGCAUGGCCCGGCUCACUGGGACUGAGACACGGCCCAGACACCUACGGGUGGCUGCAGGCGAGGAUCUUCGGCAAUGGGCGCAAGCCUGACCGAGCGACGCCGCGUGCGGGAUGAAGGCCUUCGGGUUGUAAACCGCUGUCGGAGGGGAUGAAAUGCGGGUGGGUUCUCCCAUUCGUUUGACAUAUCCUCAGAGGAAGUACGGGCUAAGUUCGUGCCAGCCGCCGCGGUAAUAC
RNAcentral lists this ribosomal RNA (508 nucleotides) under uncultured bacterium. Its description in RNAcentral is "bacterial SSU rRNA". It matches the Rfam family "Bacterial small subunit ribosomal RNA", at positions 8 to 526 of the family's 1533-position model. The record is from RNAcentral.